RNAcentral lists this transfer RNA (101 nucleotides) under Cellulomonas chitinilytica. RNAcentral's name for it is "tRNA-Val". Lineage: Bacteria; Bacillati; Actinomycetota; Actinomycetes; Micrococcales; Cellulomonadaceae. RNAcentral also lists the same sequence under 1 other name. The record is from RNAcentral.
CCGCGUGGUGGUCGACGGGCGCGAGGUGUCCGCGCUCGACGAGCGCGGCCUGGUCGAGCUGCGGCGCGACGUCGUCUCGUUCGUGUUCCAGACGUUCGGCC